GGGUCCUGGGCGUACGUGGUUGGUUGACGCGUGUCGGGAUCGAUGGCGCCGCCACCGCCAGCCAGCAGGCCGGCCGCUUCGGCGCGUGGGCAGGUCGGGCCGCCGCCGGCCCCCAUCGGCGUGGUGGGGCGGCAGUUGGUGACGAGAGGACGAGAAGGCGACGAUCGAGCAAGGAACAAGAACGAGAUGCAAUCGCUAAAGCGUCGACGCGGUGACGGUGACAAAGCGUCUGGAGGAGCGCCGCCUCUACCUCAUCUUUGAUGACUGGCCGUGGCCCCAGCUCGGCCGCGCGGGCGCGGGGCUGCAGCGCGGGGGCUCGGCCUCAGGCGGCGCGGGCCCAGCCUCCCGACGGCGUGGGGGCGCGGCGCCAGCGGCCAGUGGCGGGGCAACCCCAGGCGCCCCACCCGCCGCCGCUGCCAGCCCGCACUCCGGGUCGAGACAGGCGGCGACCGGCGACCCCAGCCUCGCGGCUCCUGCGCCCCGCUCCUCUCCAGCGUCGAUUUAGCUUGCUCCUCUCGCCAUGCCCUACGCCUCCAGCGGCCUAGAGAAGUGAUGCCCGUCGAGGUCCGGCUUGCAGACUGGGCGACGGCGCGAGUACCCGUUCCGGCUUUCAGCUUCACGACAUGCUACCUUGAUGGUCGCUAUGUACUGUGAGUUCUUGUUGUUCCUCUCUGUUCAUUCAUCUCCAACACAACGUGCACAUACACCUGCUUUUGCCAUCCAAUUAGGUUUGGUCAUCCGAUUCUAUUUAAGUCCAAACCUCCCAUACCCUCUAACCUGCACAGACCACUUCGGUUGGUAUCCUAUUAUUGGCAACCUGCGCUGUUGCAGUGCCAGGUCCAGGUGAAAAGAAGAAAUGGCUGCUGAGAUACGUCAGUGCAGAUUUAGAGGCAGGCAAUGUCAGAAGAUAGAGGAGUGGCAGAAGUAGAGCAAACUACAUCCGGUGGCAAAGAUGUUGAUACCCGACCCGAACCUGAGUACUUCAAAUGCAUAAGUUGUUCUGAGAAACAUGCAUAUCAGGUACC
Molecule: long non-coding RNA, 1025 nt
Organism: Setaria italica (foxtail millet)
Lineage: Eukaryota; Viridiplantae; Streptophyta; Magnoliopsida; Poales; Poaceae
Exons: 3
Source: RefSeq, a predicted model, not a curated record